GAUGAACGCUGGCGGCGUGCCUAAUACAUGCGAGUCGAACGCAUAGCGAAAGGUGCUUGCACCUUUCAAGUGAGUGGCGAACGGGUGAGUAACACGUGGACAACCUGCCUCAAGGCUGGGGAUAACAUUUGGAAACAGAUGCUAAUACCGAAUAAAACUUAGUGUCGCAUGACACAAAGUUAAAAGGCGCUUCGGCGUCACCUAGAGAUGGAUCCGCGGUGCAUUAGUUAGUUGGUGGGGUAAAGGCCUACCAAGACAAUGAUGCAUAGCCGAGUUGAGAGCCUGAUCGGCCACAUUGGGACUGAGACACGGCCCAAACUCCUACGGGAGGCUGCAGUAGGGAAUCUUCCACAAUGGGCGAAAGCCUGAUGGAGCAACGCCGCGUGUGUGAUGAAGGCUUUCGGGUCGUAAAGCACUGUUGUAUGGGAAGAACAGCUAGAAUAGGAAAUGAUUUUAGUUUGACGGUACCAUACCAGAAAGGGACGGCUAAAUACGUG
RNAcentral lists this ribosomal RNA (497 nucleotides) under uncultured bacterium. RNAcentral's name for it is "partial 16S ribosomal RNA". It matches the Rfam family "Bacterial small subunit ribosomal RNA", at positions 28 to 507 of the family's 1533-position model. The record is from RNAcentral.